This 2088-nucleotide long non-coding RNA is filed under the name Eucalyptus grandis. Its description in RNAcentral is "long non-coding RNA (EGRA_LNC006780)". The record is from RNAcentral. Lineage: Eukaryota; Viridiplantae; Streptophyta; Magnoliopsida; Myrtales; Myrtaceae.
AAUUCUAUCUCCUCCCUUCUUCUUAUCUCUUUCCUUUCUUCUUUCCCUCUCUCCUCUCUCUUCUUCCCCACGUGACCGAAAGCUCCCCUUCUUCUUGUUUCUUGCUCGUGAAAACCAAAAACGGAGGAAGAACAGCAGCUCGCCGAGGUCCGUCACCGCCCAUCUCACCGCCACACCGCACGCCCGCGCACGCCCAGUGCUCCAUCGCCUCCCACCACGCUCGCCGUCCUCCCCCGUGCGAUCCAGCCCCUGUUUCACCUUUAACUAGCCUUGUUCGGCUAGCUCACGCCGCGGUCCGACCCCCCUCCGGCCACCAUUCGGCCUCCCCGCAGCUCUGCCCGCUCUCCCGAACCCUUGUCGCCCACAACCAACUCUUUUUCUCCUCUGUUUUGCAGCAACUCAGCAAGUUGCUGAGUGGGUUUCUAGCAACUUUGGGCCCGCUUUUGGGCCGUUUCCGGACCCUGAACCCGAGCCGUGCUUUGGGAAGAAUUGUUCCUCGCAUCGCCCCCGUCGGAUUGAUCCAAUUUGCACGCGAUAUGGUGAGUAAUCUCACUAAUCCCGGAUUAGUUGGCUAAUUAUGCUUAAGAUUGGUUUAGUUUUAAUUAAUUAUGUUUAGGUUGUUAGAUUAGAAUAAAUUAGCAAUUAUUAGUCAAUUGUGAUCCGAUUUAGAUAAAUUGAAUGUGUAAUUAGUAAGUAGACGUGGUCUACUAUUUAUUGGAAGUGUCUCGGGGUUUUUCCCGACCCUUGUGGGCUCCAAUUAGCUUUUCGGGCCUAAGUGGAAAUUUUUAGUACUAAANNNNNNNNNNNNNNNNNNNNNNNNNNNNNNNNNNNNNNNNNNNNNNNNNNNNNNNNNNNNNNNNNNNNNNNNNNNNNNNNNNNNNNNNNNNNNNNNNNNNGAGAUGGCCGACGACCGAAAUCUCGUGCUGACUGUCGUGGCGUAGUCCGUUUAUUUAGUUGAGCUCUACGUUGCAUGGAAUUGAAUUAAUUGUGAUUAUAAUAUUAUUUUCAUGGAUUAAUUAAUUUGGAUAAUUAAUUGGAAAAUAAUCGGGUGUCGGUUGACAGCACUAAAAGUGUUUUGGUGGACGCAAAUAAUGGUGGGAAUUGUGGAAACAAGAUUAUUGUAUUUUGGCUAAGGCCAAUCGUGUACCUACGCAUGAUAUUUUAUCAAUGAUGAUAAAAGAUGAAAAGAAAUGAUGUGUGAUGUGGUUCGGCGAUUAUUGCAUCGCUUUGGCAUGUAGGAUGCCUUAGAGAAUGCACGUAAAUUGUUGAAAGUUGAUCAUGCCUGUGUGGCGAUAAUUGAUCAUGCUUGUGUGGCGAUAGUUGAUCAUGCCUAUGUUGCGAUAAGUGAUCAUGCCUGUGUGGCGAUAGUGGCGAUAAUUGAUCAUGCCUCUGUGGCGUAGAUUGUGCCUGCGUGGCCGUAUUUCUGUGUGUCGAGUAUCGUGCCUGUGUGGCGUAAAUCGUGCCUACGUGGUCGUACUUCUGUGUGUUGAGUAUCGUUCCCGUGUGGUUGAAAGUGAUUGGAAUGUGUAAGAGCAUGCACAUAAAGUGUUUAUUGUAUAUCACCUUGGCAAAUAGACGCCAAGAGCAUUACUGUAGCUCUGUGACUGAGUGUACUGUUGGGAAUUAUAUGGUGUGGAGUGAGAUGACCUAGAAAUGGUCCAACUAACUUGAAAUCGAUUAGGUCGAUUGAUCGAUGAUUCGAUCUGAGUGUGAUUUGAUGUGAUUCAUUUCCUUGAUCUACUGUGUGAAUUGAUUGAUCGAAUGGAAUUGACCAUGAGUGGUCUUGUUGACGUGUAAUCGACUAGAUCGCUUUGAUCGAUAUUUCGAUCUGUGAUGUGAUUGCUUGUGUCUCUAUUUGAUCUGUGCUAAUAUGUAGGUGGAAUCUGAUGCCAAGGUACGUCUUCUGCCAUGUGCGUGUUUAGGCAGCCUAUAGUAUAAUGGUUUACUAAUCAGGCUUAGUGGGGUAGAACUCGCUGAGACGUAGUCUCAUCCCAGUUUGGGGAAAACAUUUCAGGACCCUGAUGAGAAGCUAAGGGGGAGGAAUUUGAGUGGGAGAACUCUGAGGUGAAACCUGAGGAGAAGAUAUUU